Molecule: ribosomal RNA, 781 nt
Filed under: uncultured Neocallimastigales
Lineage: Eukaryota; Fungi; Neocallimastigomycota; Neocallimastigomycetes; Neocallimastigales
Description: partial large subunit ribosomal RNA
Rfam family: Eukaryotic large subunit ribosomal RNA
Source: RNAcentral
UAUGUGAUCGUCUCUCGCAUAUCAAUAAGCGGAGGAAAAGAAACUAACAAGGAUUCCCCUAGUAACGGCGAGUGAAGCGGGAAGAGUUCAAAUUUGAAAUCUUAAAGGGUCUCCCUUUACGAAUUGUAGUUUAAAGAAGUGUUUUCUGUUGAGGUUUUGGUAAAAGUUCUUUGGAAUAGGACAUCAUAGAGGGUGAGAAUCCCGUAUUUGACCUUUACUUUCAACUUUGUGAUACACUUUCAAAGAGUCGGAUUGUUUGGGAAUGCAGUCCAAAAUGGGUGGUAAAUUUCAUCUAAAGCUAAAUAUUGGCGAGAGACCGAUAGCGAACAAGUACCGUGAGGGAAAGAUGAAAAGAACUUUGAAAAGAGAGUUAAACAGUACGUGAAAUUGUCAAAAGGGAAGCGUUUGACAUCCAGUGUUGUUUUUCUGAAAAUCAAUUAAGAGAUGUUUAUGUUCUGAGAGUGUAUGACUUCAUCAGCUUAACUGUCUCGUCUUCCGAAGCUUUUCUGUAAUGCACUUUUCAGUUAACAAGUCAACAUCAAUUUCUUUUGCUGUAAAAAAGCUUGAGGAAGGUGGCUUGAGAUUCGUCUUAAGUGUUUAUAGCCUCUUGCCUAUGCAGUCGGAGAGAUUGAGGUCUGCAGCGUAGAUCCUUCGGGGCUAAAUGCACUUUGUGCUAAGUUAUAGCAUUUUAUAGACAACUUGUUGACUAUGAUUUGUCUUGUAGCUUACUCGCUUAUGUUAUUUUACCUACGCUUAGGAUGUUGACUGAUAUGUAGUCGUA